RNAcentral lists this ribosomal RNA (509 nucleotides) under uncultured glomeraceous AM fungus. Its description in RNAcentral is "SSU rRNA". It matches the Rfam family "Eukaryotic small subunit ribosomal RNA", at positions 569 to 1078 of the family's 1831-position model. The record is from RNAcentral. Lineage: Eukaryota; Fungi; Glomeromycota; Glomeromycetes; Glomerales; Glomeraceae.
AGCAGCCGCGGUAAUUCCAGCUCCAAUAGCGUAUAUUAAAGUUGUUGCAGUUAAAAAGCUCGUAGUUGAAUUUCGGGAUCAAUGUUUCGGUCAUGCCCUUGGUAUGUACUGAUAUUAUUGGUUUCUCACCUUCUAAAGAACCGUAAUGCCAUUAAUUUGGUGUCACGGGGAAUUAGGACUGUUACCUUGAAAAAAUUAGAGUGUUUAAAGCAGGCUCACGCUUGAAUACAUUAGCAUGGAAUAAUGAAAUAGGACAUCCGAUUCUAUUUUGUUGGUUUCUAGGAUCGAUGUAAUGAUUAAUGGGGAUAGUUGGGGGCAUUAGUAUUCAAUUGUCAGAGGUGAAAUUCUUGGAUUUAUUGAAGACUAACUACUGCGAAAGCAUUUGCCAAGGAUGUUUUCAUUAAUCAAGAACGAAAGUUAGGGGAUCGAAGACGAUCAGAUACCGUCGUAGUCUUAACCAUAAACUAUGCCGACUAGGGAUCGGAUGAUGUUAAUUUUUUAAUGACUCA